RNAcentral lists this ribosomal RNA (478 nucleotides) under uncultured bacterium. RNAcentral describes it as "bacterial SSU rRNA". It matches the Rfam family "Bacterial small subunit ribosomal RNA", at positions 33 to 555 of the family's 1533-position model. The record is from RNAcentral.
ACGCUGGCGGUGUGCUUCACACAUGCAAGUCGAACGAGGUAGCAAUACCUAGUGGCGGACGGGUGAGUAACGCGUGGAAUCUGCCUUUAGAUGGGGGAUAACGGGUCGAAAGACUCGCUAAUACCGCAUAUGACGAAAGUUGAAAGGAGUAAUCCGUCUAAAGAUGAGCCCGCGUCCGAUUAGCUAGUUGGUAGAGUAAAAGCCUACCAAGGCGACGAUCGGUAGCUGGUCUGAGAGGAUGAUCAGCCACAAUGGGACUGAGACACGGCCCAUACUCCUACGGGAGGCAGCAGUGGGGAAUUUUACGCAAUGGGCGAAAGCCUGACGUAGCGACACCGCGUGAGCGAAGAAGCCCCUUGGGGUGUAAAGCUCUGUCAGCUGGAACGAAAAAAUGACGGUACCAGCAGAGGAAGCAUCGGCUAACUACGUGCCAGCAGCCGCGGUAAGACGUAGGAUGCAAGCGUUGUCCGGAUUUAUU